This 42-nucleotide non-coding RNA is filed under the name Phaseolus lunatus (lima bean). Its description in RNAcentral is "partial small subunit ribosomal RNA". It matches the Rfam family "Eukaryotic small subunit ribosomal RNA", at positions 1790 to 1831 of the family's 1831-position model. RNAcentral also lists the same sequence under 223 other names. Lineage: Eukaryota; Viridiplantae; Streptophyta; Magnoliopsida; Fabales; Fabaceae. The record is from RNAcentral.
CGUAACAAGGUUUCCGUAGGUGAACCUGCGGAAGGAUCAUUG